Molecule: long non-coding RNA, 483 nt
Filed under: Triticum aestivum (bread wheat)
Lineage: Eukaryota; Viridiplantae; Streptophyta; Magnoliopsida; Poales; Poaceae
Description: long non-coding RNA (TAES_LNC003428)
Source: RNAcentral
UAGUCCCAUACAUAUAAUACACAAUGAACAAAGAUGGCAUCACUACGUAAGAUUUGGCACUACAACAAAUGCCUUCAUGUCCAUGUCAUAGUCCAAAGAACAUCCAAGUGGCAACCUACAAGAUUGAAUGGUGACUGUCACGUUUUGGCACAAGAACAAAUAACGUGCUUGAAAUCAUAAAUAUGCCAAACAGACAAAAGAACCACCAACCAUACUCGAUCUCAAACAUUCGGAGAACCACCAAGGUUGUUGUCACUUGGGCCUCGUGCAUGUGAAGAUCCAUCAGUAUUAGAUCCAUGGCCUGAUUGAUGAGGCAUCGGCAUAGCGGGCAUACCAUUCUGGGUACAAUAAGCCUGCAAAUUAUGUUUGAGUGAAGAUUAAGUACUGGUGGUAGAAGAGUUCAUGUAUGUCUUUGGCAAUUAAGGAACUAACCGCAAACAUUGCAAAGCAUUGACUAGUUUGUGCCAACACCGCCUGCUGCAC